GAACUUAAGCAUAUCAAUAAGCGGAGGAAAAGAAACCAACAGGGAUUGCCUCAGUAACGGCGAGUGAAGCGGCAACAGCUCAAAUUUGAAAUCUGGCUCUUUCAGGGUCCGAGUUGUAAUUUGUAGAAGAUGCUUUGGGUGUGGCUCCGGUCUAAGUUCCUUGGAACAGGACGUCAUAGAGGGUGAGAAUCCCGUACGUGACUGGUUGCCUCCGCCCGUGUAAAGCUCUUUCGACGAGUCGAGUUGUUUGGGAAUGCAGCUCAAAAUGGGUGGUAAAUUUCAUCUAAAGCUAAAUAUUGGCCAGAGACCGAUAGCGCACAAGUAGAGUGAUCGAAAGAUGAAAAGCACUUUGGAAAGAGAGUUAAACAGUACGUGAAAUUGUUGAAAGGGAAGCGCUUGCAACCAGACUUGCAUGCGGUUGAUCAUCCGAGCUUCUGCCCGGUGCACUCGAUCGUAUUCAGGCCAGCAUAGGUUUUGGUGGGCGGAUAAAGGCCUUGGGAAUGUAGCUUCCUUCGGGGAGUGUUAUAGCCCUCGGUGCAAUGCGCCCUACCGGGACCGAGGACCGCGCUUCGGCUAGGAUGCUGGCGUAAUGGUUGUAAGCGACCCGUCUUGAAACACGGACCAAGGAGUCUAACAUCUAUGCGAGUGUUUGGGUGUCAAACCCAUACGCGUAAUGAAAGUGAACGGAGGUGAGAACCCUUAAGGGUGCAUCAUCGACCGAUCCUGAUGUCUUCGGAUGGAUUUGAGUAAGAGCAUAGCUGUUGGGACCCGAAA
Molecule: ribosomal RNA, 774 nt
Filed under: uncultured fungus
Lineage: Eukaryota; Fungi
Description: eukaryotic LSU rRNA
Rfam family: Eukaryotic large subunit ribosomal RNA
Source: RNAcentral